GGGGACGUGGCGGAAUUGGCAGACGCGCAUGACUUAGGAUCAUGUGCCGCAAGGCGUGGGAGUUCGAGUCUCCCCGUCCCCA
Molecule: transfer RNA, 82 nt
Filed under: Ardenticatena maritima
Lineage: Bacteria; Bacillati; Chloroflexota; Ardenticatenia; Ardenticatenales; Ardenticatenaceae
Description: filamentous thermophilic bacterium 110S tRNA
Rfam family: tRNA
About the family: Transfer RNA (tRNA) molecules are approximately 80 nucleotides in length. Their secondary structure includes four short double-helical elements and three loops (D, anti-codon, and T loops). Further hydrogen bonds mediate the characteristic L-shaped molecular structure. tRNAs have two regions of fundamental functional importance: the anti-codon, which is responsible for specific mRNA codon recognition, and the 3' end, to which the tRNAs corresponding amino acid is attached (by aminoacyl-tRNA synthetases). tRNAs cope with the degeneracy of the genetic code in two manners: having more than one tRNA (with a specific anti-codon) for a particular amino acid; and 'wobble' base-pairing, i.e. permitting non-standard base-pairing at the 3rd anti-codon position.
Source: Rfam by way of RNAcentral